AAUUUGAAACCCUCGGGAUUGUAAUUUGAAGAUUUGGCAUUGGAAAAAGCUAACCCAAGUUGCUUGGAAUAGUACGUCAUAUAAGGUGACAACCCCGUCUGGCUAACCGUUCUCCAUGUAUUGCCUUAUCAAAGAGUCUAGUUGUUUGGGAAUGCAGCUCAUAGUGGUUGGUAAACUCCAUCUAAAGCUAAAUACUGGUGAGAGACCGAUAGCGAACAAGUACUGUGAAGGAAAGGUGAAAAGAACUUUGAAAAGAGAGUGAAAUACUAUGUGAAAUUGUUGAUAGGGAAGGAAAUGAGUGGAGAGUGGCCGAGGUUUCAGCCGCCCCUCGUGGGCGGUGUACUGCCGACGCCGAGUCAUCGAUAGCGAGACGAGGGUUACAAAUGGGAGCGCCUUCAGGCGUUCUCCCCUAACCCUCCACACUGCCACCGACGACAUAAUCCGCCCAUUUCACCCGUCUUGAACACGGGGAACAAAAAAUGGUGGCCUCUUUGGG
This 496-nucleotide ribosomal RNA is filed under the name Yarrowia lipolytica. RNAcentral's name for it is "partial large subunit ribosomal RNA". It matches the Rfam family "Eukaryotic large subunit ribosomal RNA", at positions 112 to 664 of the family's 3401-position model. The record is from RNAcentral. Lineage: Eukaryota; Fungi; Ascomycota; Dipodascomycetes; Dipodascales.